CAGAGAUGAUUGUGGAUGACCCGAUGGAAGUUCCUAGGAGAAUGAUGGAGGAUUGGACUCCCCAACUUGUUGACGAUCUUCCAGAAGUCUUUAGUGGGGGGUGGGUUGGUUAUUUCUCAUAUGACACAGUGCGGUAUGUGGAGAAGAAAAAACUGCCUUUCUCCAUUGCCCCACCAGAUGACAGAAAUCUCCCUGAUGUCCACCUUGGCCUUUAUGAGGACGUUAUGAUAUUUGAUCAUUUGGAGAAGAAAGCAUAUGUUAUUCACUGGGUGCGAUUAGAACAAUAUACCACCGUUGAGGAGGCCUUCGAUGACGGAAUGAACCGGUUGGAAAAUUUAUUAUCUAGAGUGCAUAAUACGGC
This 361-nucleotide unclassified non-coding RNA is filed under the name Hevea brasiliensis (rubber tree). Lineage: Eukaryota; Viridiplantae; Streptophyta; Magnoliopsida; Malpighiales; Euphorbiaceae. The record is from RNAcentral.